RNAcentral lists this ribosomal RNA (74 nucleotides) under Eptatretus burgeri (inshore hagfish). The record is from RNAcentral. Lineage: Eukaryota; Metazoa; Chordata; Myxini; Myxiniformes; Myxinidae.
GUUAGUAGUACCAGGUCAGUUCCUGGUCAGUACCUGGAUGGGAAACUGUCUGGGAACAACGGGUGUUGUUGGCU